Molecule: ribosomal RNA, 468 nt
Filed under: uncultured bacterium
Lineage: Bacteria
Description: partial 16S ribosomal RNA
Rfam family: Bacterial small subunit ribosomal RNA
Source: RNAcentral
GACGAACGCUGGCGGCGUGCUUAACACAUGCAAGUCGAACGGAAAGGCCCUGCUUUUGUGGGGUGCUCGAGUGGCGAACGGGUGAGUAACACGUGAGUAACCUGCCCUUGACUUUGGGAUAACUUCAGGAAACUGGGGCUAAUACCGGAUAGGAGCUCCUGCUGCAUGGUGGGGGUUGGAAAGUUUCGGCGGUUGGGGAUGGACUCGCGGCUUAUCAGCUUGUUGGUGGGGUAGUGGCUUACCAAGGCUUUGCCGGGUAGCCGGCCUGAGAGGGUGACCGGCCACAUUGGGACUGAGAUACGGCCCAGACUCCUACGGGAGGCAGCAGUGGGGAAUAGUGCACAAUGGGCGGAAGCCUGAUGCAGCAACGCCGCGUGCGGGAUGACGGCCUUCGGGUAGUAAACCGCUUUCGCCUGUGACGAAGCGUGAGUGACGGUAAUGGGUAAAGAAGCACCGGCUAACUACGUG